UAGGGAAUCUUCGGCAAUGGACGAAAGUUGACCGAGCAACGCCANGUGAGUGAAGAAGGUUUUCGGAUCGUAAAACUCUGUUGUUAGAGAAGAACAAGGAUGAGAGUAACUGUUCAUCCCUUGACGGUAUCUAACCAGAAAGCCACGGCUAACUACGUGCCAGCAGCCGCGGUAAUACGUAGGUGGCAAGCGUUGUCCGGAUUUAUUGGGCGUAAAGCGAGCGCAGGCGGUUUCUUAAGUCUGAUGUGAAAGCCCCCGGUUCAACCGGGGAGGGUCAUUGGAAACUGGGAGACUUGAGUGCAGAAGAGGAGAGUGGAAUUCCAUGUGUAGCGGUGAAAUGCGUAGAUAUAUGGAGGAACACCAGUGGCGAAGGCGGCUCUCUGGUCUGUAACUGACGCUGAGGCUCGAAAGCGUGGGGAGCAAACAGGAUUAGAUACCCUGGUAGUCCACGCCGUAAACGAUGAGUGCUAAGUGUUGGAGGGUUUCCGCCCUUCAGUGCUGCAGCUAACGCAUUAAGCACUCCGCCUGGGGAGUACGACCGCAAGNU
This 547-nucleotide ribosomal RNA is filed under the name uncultured bacterium. RNAcentral describes it as "bacterial SSU rRNA". It matches the Rfam family "Bacterial small subunit ribosomal RNA", at positions 355 to 894 of the family's 1533-position model. The record is from RNAcentral.